This 245-nucleotide ribosomal RNA is filed under the name uncultured Dictyoglomus sp. Its description in RNAcentral is "partial 16S ribosomal RNA". It matches the Rfam family "Bacterial small subunit ribosomal RNA", at positions 524 to 767 of the family's 1533-position model. Lineage: Bacteria; Pseudomonadati; Dictyoglomota; Dictyoglomia; Dictyoglomales; Dictyoglomaceae. The record is from RNAcentral.
GACGUAGGGGGCGAGCGUUGUCCGGAUUCACUGGGCGUAAAGGGCGCGUAGGCGGUUACGCAAGUCGGAUGUGAAAAGUCACGGCUCAACUGUGAUCGUGCAUCUGAUACUGCGUUGACUUGAGGUCGGUGGAGGCAAGUGGAACUAGCGGUGUAGCGGUGAAAUGCGCAGACAUCGCUAGGAACGCCGGUGGCGAAGGCGAUUUGCUGGGCCGUACCUGACGCUGAUGCGCGAAAGCUAGGGGA